This 389-nucleotide long non-coding RNA is filed under the name Mytilus galloprovincialis (Mediterranean mussel). The record is from RNAcentral. Lineage: Eukaryota; Metazoa; Mollusca; Bivalvia; Mytilida; Mytilidae.
AUAACAACUAUCAUAUUCCUGACUUGGUACAGACAUUUUCUAAAGUAGAAAAUGUUGAAUAAGACCUGGUUUUAUAGCUAGCUAAAACUCUUAAGGAAAUGACAGUCGCUUAAAAUUCCUUUACAUUGACAAUGAUGUGUGCACAAAACAAACAGACACAAUAGGUUAAAAUGUCAAAAAUAGGGGUACUGCAGUCAACAUUUACCAUGACACAAUAAUACACUGAAAGGAUAUAUAAGUACAGAGACACGUCGUAUAGACAAAGCAUAUAAACGAAAAUAAAAGACAAGAAUAUAGAAAUAAUCAUUGAACAAUAACACAAUGAUGAGAUGUAUAAGUACAGAGCCAGGUCAUAUGUAACAAAGAAAACAAAAAGUAUACUAAGGCGG